RNAcentral lists this transfer RNA (124 nucleotides) under Enterobacter hormaechei. RNAcentral's name for it is "tRNA-OTHER". Lineage: Bacteria; Pseudomonadati; Pseudomonadota; Gammaproteobacteria; Enterobacterales; Enterobacteriaceae. The record is from RNAcentral. RNAcentral also lists the same sequence under 3 other names.
GGCUCUUAUUGGUGGAUAUUGGUUUUGUAACCGACUGAUUUCUAUCUAAGUUAUUGUUUUUACUUUGGCUGUUAUGGUUCUCAUAAUCGCUUGGUCGCUGGUUCAAGUCCAGCAGGGGCCACCA